Molecule: long non-coding RNA, 30282 nt
Organism: Equus asinus (donkey)
Lineage: Eukaryota; Metazoa; Chordata; Mammalia; Perissodactyla; Equidae
Source: Ensembl
GCUCCCUCUAAAUAUUUUUAACUCCAUAUUUAUCACUGUCUUUGCUCUUCAUUCAUUCCUGCAUCACUAACCUUUGAUCAACUUGAAGAUUAUCAUUAGAAUUUUCUUUGUGCAGGUUUAUUGACGAUAAACUCUUUUAUCGCCUGAAAAUGUCUUCAUUUCUCCUUUAUUCUUGAAGGAUCUCUUUGUUAAAUGUUGAAUUCGUUUGGCAUUAUUUCUCUUAGCCCAUUUCAUCAUCAUCUUUUGGCUUCUCAUAUUGCUAUUGAGGCUUUUUCUCACUUUUUAAAAGCCCUUCCUUUUUUGGUCUGCCUUUAAUAUUUUCUGUCUUUCGUUUUCUGCACUAUCCUGUGGAUUUCUUUUUAUCUUGCUUGACCUUAGUAUGGUCUCCUGAGUCUGUGGACUAAUUCCUUUCACCAUUUCUGGAAAAUUCUCAGGUAUCACCCCACACAAAAUUGACUCCUCCCUAUUCUCUCCUCUCCCUCUGGCACUCCAACUAGACAGAGAGUAGAUCUUCUCACUGUAUUCUUUAAGACUUUUAACUGUCUCUUCUGUUUAUUCCCUGCAUCCCAUCUUUUUAUCUUUCCACUCUCCAUUCUGCACAAUUUCAUCCAAUCUACCUUCUCAUUCACUAACUCUCUUUAACUGUAUCUAACCUGCUGUUAAACCAUCCAAUGAAUUCUAUUUAGAACAUAGUUCAUUUGUUUUUCAGUGUUGUUAAUACUAAUAUAUGUAGUCCCUGUGGGUCUGUUUUUGUUGUUUCUCACUCACGCUGUCUCGUCACCUUAAGGCCUGGUUAUCUCUGAUUGUGUACAGUAUAUUGUAAUUGCAAAUUUAUUUGUAGAAAUAAUUUGAAGCAUAAGAGGAUUUUUGUUUGCUUUUGCUAGAGACCUGAGAGUGCUUACACAUUUCAAGAUUUUGUGUCUCGGCCAUGCAUCCGACACACAGCCUGUUUAAAUAGAUGGAUGACUGGUUUAUUUCUGGUUCCCUCCUGUUCAUAGAUAUUAAUCUUUUGGGUUGCAGACUGAAGUGGGAGUUUACAAGAAGUUACCCACCUUGGUAAGCCCUGAACAUUGCCUUUUUAACUGCAGCCCCAGAAUGCCAUGGAUAUGCAGCUGUGAAUCUUAGCUUUCUCUUUAGCUUGGCAAAUACUCUCAAAACAAAAGUGGCUGUGAAUGCUGGGCUUAUUAUUCUAAGUUUGAAGCUUUCCCCAGAUCUCAAGUUGGCAAUUCCUAUCUUAUUCUUUUUUGAUUAAAAAAAUUAUUUUGGUCCAGAUGUUUUGGUUGUCUUCUGUGAGAAGACUGGUCCAAAUUACUGAGUCUUCCAUUACCAGAAGGAGAAAAAUUCCUCUAUUAUUUUUAUCUCCCAGAGACUAUAAUGGUUAAAAUUAUUUGAUAGAAUAAAGAACUAUUCUCUAUACUAAUAAAGGUAUAAGUAUACGUCUACGUAUGCGUGUUCAAUAUUGAGGGCAACAAAGGGAAGUGAAAGGAUCAAUGGGCUGGGGGAAAGGAGAUGCUGGAUUUUACACUCCCCUUGUUUCGUCAUCUUCACCAUCAUAAUAAAACAGCAAAAGCUAUCACUUGAAUAAAGCAUUACGGUUAAAAACUAUUUUCCAAUCAAAAUGGCAGUGUUGAGGAUCUUUAAACCAACCCCUCACAGACUUUGUUAACACUACUCCUCGUCUUUGCUAUGGUUAGAUACUUGUUGAUCUUAUAGAAAUGCUGUUUCCAGCGCUUUUUCAAAUUGUUCCCCCUAAGUCUUCUCACACAAAAACACAAGUUCCUCUGUUCACAUAUCAUCUGACUCAACAUGCUCAACAACACUGUGUGGCCUCAUAAUACUCAUUUUAUAGAUAGGGCAAGCGAGGCUUAAAGCAGCAGACUGCUCUAUUGCCAGUUUCUGUGAUCCAAACGCAGCGUUCUUCCUGUUCUAUCAUUUCACUUGUUCACUUUGGGUAAUCAUUUCAAGGUCAGCCCUCCUCCUCCAGCUCAAGUUUUCUUAGUGUAAAAUGAGAAGAUGAGACGACACAACCACUACAGUUCCCCCUUCUGUUCUGACGUCUUCUGGAAGAGCUGGGCCUGUUUAGCUGAUGGCCUUUGGUAGUAGUUAUGUAAGAAGUCACAGGAAGAAAAGUGGGCUGGAAGCUUCUCCUUUAGUGGGUGGGAUUCUAAGCCUCCUCCCUCUGCUGUGCUGAGGACCACCCUCAUAUCAUUUGGAAUAAAGAAUGACUUAACCACUUGCACGUGUUCCUUUACGCCCGUUUGUGGAAUGUUUUGACGGUUCUCCAUGGAGAGCAGUAUCUGCACAUCUAGACAAUUACAGCAGCAAAGGAGAGGGUUGUGAGUGAACACCUAAUAAACUUUUAUGCCUUGGAAGGAUAAGCUUUCCUUAAGAUAAGAGAAGAAGCAAAUGGAGAUCUGGAGAGUGAAAUCCUCCUCAUUCUUAGAGAAAAAUCACACAUGUUCUCACUUGAGGAUGUAUUGGAAAAAGUAUCUAGAAUUAGGAAUUCCGGAUUUAGUUAAAAUUCCUCUGCUAUUAAUUAGCUAUGUGACUUUGGGUAAGUCACAAAUCUAUUUGGAUUUUCAUUUUCUCUGUUGUAAAAUGAGGAUGAAAUGAGAUGUUGUGAAUUCUUAAAUUACUAUUCAAAUGUAAAUUUUCAUCUUUUUAUAACAUCAGUCUGGGCACUGAAUAGAUCAGUAAAGGGGGGAGCUGGGAUUCAGGUUUGCUCAUCUAAAUGGAGAAAGAAUGAAAGAGCUGGGGAGGGAAUUAAAAUCUCAGCACACUUCUCUUUGCUUCCUCUAAUAUACUUACCUCUGAUAACAAGGUUCCUUACUGCAUAGUCAUUGGAACACAGUAAAACAGUGGAAAAAAUAGAGAUUUAAGUCAGAUGACCUGGUCCAACCCCUAUCUGUGCCACAUGCUGUGUGGGUGGGAAAAUUGCCUAACCUUUCCAAAACUGUUUCUUUAACUAUAAAAUGGGGAUAGGCUUUUAGAGUACUGUUGGCUCUCCUUAUCCACGGGUUCAGCAACAAUGAGUCAACCAACCGUGGAUAAAAAAGCUUACGAUGGCUGCUCCUGCACUGAACAUGUACACAGACAUUUUUCCUUGUUAUUAUUCCCAAAGCAAUACAGUAUAACAACUGUUUACAUAGCAUUUACAUUGCAUUAGGUAUUAUAAGUAAUCUAGAGGUGAUUUAAAGUAUACAGAGAGAUGUGCAUAGGUUAUACGCAAAUACUAGUCCAAUUUAGAUAACGGACUUGAGCACCCCCGGAUUUUGGUAUCUUCAGGGGUCCUGGAACCAAUCCCCAGUGGAUAUUGAGGGACGACUAUAAUUGUGAAGAUUUCCUGAGAUAUCUAACGGUGUUUUGCAUAUGGUAGACGCUCAGUAAAUGCAAGUUCCAUUCUUUCUUUCAUAUAGGGGAAUUGCUGCAUUUAUGAAUUUAAUUUUGUUAACCUUUUAUUGAGAGUUCAUUGAAACCCAUCAGUGGAAUUAUAUAUGGAAAGGAAAAGGUUAAGUAGAAAACCUCCAUAGAACUAUUUGCUCUGUGAUAAUUAUCUAGCAGAAGUAAUGUGCCAAUUAUGCUAUAUGGAAAGGGGAGCUUAAAUAUUAACUAAGAGUGAUUUUGAAAAUUGUGUUUACAAAAAUAAUACAUAUUAAGCAACACAGCUUCCAAUUCAUUCCACUCCCCGUUUCAUUGACUCUCACCAUCUUGUAGCAACUCAAAUGUAAAAUACUCUUCCUUUCAAGCAUAUGGUUUGCUGCUUAAAAGAAAAAAAAAAAAGUAAGCCAAACAAAGUCUUAUUGGCCUUCUUCCUGCCAGCGUUCUAAUCACCCCCAUUUCACCCCAGAACAACAAUCCAAAGAGCAGCAUCCUUUAGCUGAAAUUUCAGCUUGAACGUUUCUAUAGCUUCCCAGCUGAGCUGUCAUUCGUAAGCCUUUUAAAAAUUAAUUAUUAAAACUGUUUCCAUUAGUCUUUUGUUUGGCUUUCAUGCAACCACUUUUCUUUUGCUGUUUAACAAGUAGAAAACCACCAGCAUUAGCUAUAAAUACAUGGCAGCAGACAUGGGGAGAAGGCAUAUGACUGCCGCUGGCCUGUUCCCGAGGGCUAACUCAGGCAUGACUGUAUUCUGGGAAGCGGCGUCAGGUCCACUCCUAACCUACAGGCAAAUUCCAAACCAGCCAGCUCGACGCAGGGAAUUCUCUUGUCAGUUCCUUCUACUGUCCCUCUUGAUUCGAGGUAUUGGGACACUUUGUUCACUUGGUCUCUUGGUAAAUUCCUUCUUCUGUUUGUUCAACCAUUUGCUAAAUAUUGAUUACUAACUGUGUGCCUAACACUGAAAACAGAAUAUUAAAUAAGGAUGUGUUUCUGCCCUCAGAAAGAACGCAAGUGCAGUCUGGAAGAGUUGGACAGAUAAAUUAUUGUAGUGUAGUAAUGUCUACGAUAGAGGAAUAAAAUUAAUGGUCUAGAAGCCCAGGCAAGGGUAUCAGGGAAGAUUUUUGGGAAAGAUCACACCAAGGACAAUUAAGUACCACUAAAAUAAAGGGUCAGGACAAUGCGGGAACAUUCCCAAUAGAAGAACAGCAUACACAAAGGCACGAGAAUGCAAAACAGGAUGCUCUGGUUAGGAAUGGCUAGAUUGGAGAGUUCGCUGAGGCUAGUGGCCAAAGAUGAGAGUAAAGAAGGUGGGCUUACAUUAGUGGCCUUCAAAUCGUGCCCCUCACAUGCUAGGAGGGUAACUGCAGAAGCAGCUUAGCAGGUGGGCUCAUAUAUGCCUUACGCAUUGGGCUUUGGUGAAAGAUUUUCUUUUUUGAGGAAGAUUAGCCCUGAGCUAACAUCCGCUGCCAGUUCUCCUCUUUUUGCUGAGGAAGACUGGCCCUGUGUUAACAUCUGUGCUCAUCCUCCUUUAUUUUAUAUGUGGGACGCCUGCCACAGCAUGGCUUGAUAAGUGGUGCAUAGGUCCGCACCCAGGAUCCGAACCAGGGAACCCCCAGCCACCGAAGCGAAAGGUGUGAACUUAACCACUAUGCCACCGGGCUGACCCAGAAAGAUUUCUUCUUAGAGAACAGAUUCCACUAUAAAAAUAUUUGAAAACUGCUGGCCUAGAUAAGUGUCUGUGCUAAGUCGAGAAGUUUGAUCCUUAUCCUCAAAUCAAUGUUCAAAAGGUUGAGUGGUAGAGACUGCCUCAUUCUCCACAAGACAGUGAGUCUCAAUAGGAAUGCAUUCAGAUCAUGGAAAACCUGUGUACUGUUUUAACAAUACGAACAAGAAACGAAAUCUGAUCAUACUGGCUGGUGGAAUAUUGGUUAAAAUAUUGCAAAACAUUACUGUACAGGUAAACCCAGUGUGGAACAUACUGAAGGUGCAGAAAUGUACUUAUUUGGUAGCUCACAAACCCUCCUGACUGUGGAAACCAGCAGGAAAUGAGCAAGUGGGGAGAACUGACCAUCCAUGCUUUUAUUAAUCUUGUCAUUAAAAACAUGAAAGUUGAACACUUACAACACUCACAGUGCCUUAUGUCCAGGUGAGGCUUGCUUUGGCUCCAGUUACCUUUUAUUUGGAAAGUGUGGCUACAAGGACAUGAUUUAGUUCAAUUUAAAAAUCAUUGCCAAAACAAAUGAAAAAUAUAUAAAUACCUAUUUUAUAAGCCUUUUAAAGUUGGGGGGAAAAACUUUUAAAACCAUAUUAGAACAUGUUAAAAUAAACUCCCUAUAACAAUCUUUGCAGUAGUAAUGUCAGUGCUGUCUGACCAUGAAACUCGUCAUCUAUACUGAUCUACUUUUCAAAGUAUUUUUAUAUCGUUUUAUACCCCCUACCCAAAAGGUAGGACCAAUGCUGUGACUGAGGUUCAAUGCAGCCACAUAAAUACAUUUAAGCAGUGAACUGUGUUAAGGAGAAACGUAUAGCACCCAGGUCUACUGAAUUUGACUCGUGUUUCAAAACUCCAACUCCUGUCCCCCCACCUGAAUACCUACUUCAAGGAUUUUAAUAUCGAGUGCCAUCCACAAAACAUUGAGUUCUCUGAUGUGGUGUGUGUACAGUAUUAUGGAUUACGUCAUAGGCUUUAUCUUGACCUUGGGGUUGGGCCUUGUUCUUGAGCUCUGGAAAUGAGAACCUUCCACCAUUCCCAGGUUUCUUCUUCAGCUCUCCAUGCUGUCUCAGUAACUCCCCCAUACACACACCCCUAUUUCUUGUCCUGGGACCAAAUGACUGCCAGAGGCAGCACAGCCAGAGCGAGAGUUCUCAUUUCCAAGAUGCAGAGUUUGGCUCAACGAGGUAGGGCAGCCAGUAAAUGGUAACCAUAGAUACCACUCCCCCUUGCUAACAGCAUUCCUUCUUCCCCACCUACCAGAUCCUAGCUAUCCUUCACCAGCCCCUUCAAGUCCCAUUUCAAAAAGCCUCCCUAACUGCUGCAGCCCACACUGGUGUCUUCUUUCACUUAACUCCUGUAACAGUGUUGCUCUUCACCAGACUACUUAACGCUCAGAUUCCAGCUUCCUUGUAUUGUUGGUUGUUUUGUGAAGAAUAUGUUCUGAAGCCAGAAAUAGUGGGUUCAAAUGCUAGUUCCAGACCUAUUAUUUAACUUCUCCGAGCCUGUUUCCAUAUGAGGAAUGAGGAUAACACCUUGUCAGGCAAAUGUGAGGACAAUUAAUCUAUUAAGUGCUUAGCUUCCCUCCACCUAACACAUAGUAGGUGCUCAAUAAAUGUUGAACUGAAAAAAAGGGCAGGAACGAGGUCUUAGUUUUCUCUCAUCUCUCAUGUAACCUGGUAUGGGCUACAAAGAAACAGCUGAAUGACUGUUAGUUAUUUUUUCUUAUUUAUAGCUGACACAGCUCACCUCUGGUCUCAGGAAACGAGAGAGUAUGUGUUCUUUCCCUUCACGAUUAUAAUUAGCCCAAGUGUGUGUCAUCACAGCCAGGGUGAUAGUAAUACUUUUUAUAAGCUUCAUUUACAUAGUAUUUUAACAUUUAUGAACAGCUUUUUUGGACAUUUAUUGUCUCAUUUACUUCUUUCAGUAACUCCCAGCAUGGGGGUAGGGAAGGUGUCAUUGAACUGUAUUUACUAGAAACCUGAGUUCUGUGUGGUUAAUAUUACUAGCAGCACUUUUACGUUCAUUUACAGUUUACAAAGCAUUUUAAAGACCACUUUCUUAUCUGGUUACUUAGGAUCGUAAUAGUAUUUAAAAUUAAAUACUCUUAAAAUCUUCUAUAUAUCAGUGGACACUAAACUUGGUGUGAUCUCUAUGAUUGCUACAAAGAGCAUUUUUUUUUUAAAGAAAAUACAAAUUAAGUGUCUUGCCUUCAUCGUAAGCCUGCAGUGGAUUUAGUGGCCUCCAGCAUAAAGGAAGCGAAGCCCUGAGAAGGCAGUGCUUUACUAUUUGCAAAACCGCUAGCUGUGCGAAGAGUCAGAAAGUUUCUCUCUUCCUCACCUAAUCUCUCAGCGUUCCAUCUACAGAGCCACAAAAGUGAGUGGGAACUUGUAUGUCUCCGGAUUGUAUAGCAUAGCACUUGUGUCUUUAUGUUUAAAGAAUCAGCUUUCCCGUUUCCACAGUUCAAAAUAACUGCACCUGGCAGCACUAAGGCUUCCUAUGGAACGGCCUCUCUAAACGACAUGCGGGACCUUGGGCUAUUCACCUACUAAGGCCUGUUUCUUAAUUUAGAACAUGAGGAAUUUGUUUGACGCAGCUGAGGUCUUCGGCACAAUCAUUCUAUAAUUUCAAGGUAAGUUGAUUUAAGGAAAUACAUGAAAAAUAUUAGUAAAACCUCCCUUUCAUUUGUUGUAUGAGAUAUGAUGUUUUUCCGCUAAAUCUCUUUUUAAGAAUGAAAACAUGACAAAUAAGUCUUACUUGCCAUUCCAUGUUUUCCCCAGAGUUCACCACUAUCCUGAAGUUUGUGGAUAUUCUCCCUAUGGGAUUUUUUAUGUUUUACAUUUACUCAUAACAACAGCUUAAGUUACAUAAAUAGUAUCAUACUGUACUAUCCUUCUGUUUCUUUUUUCCCUUAGAACAGUUGGAAAUUUAUUUAUAUUAGUAUUCAUCCAUUUUAACUGUUAUGAUUUCAAUGUAUGAUAACAUAGGUUAUCUAUUUGGUACAUUUAUGCAUGAGUUGGCAAAAGUUUUCUGUAAAGGGCCACACAGCAAAUAUUUCAGGCUUUGCAGGACACAUACGGUCUUUAUUGUAUAUUCCUUUUUUAAAAAAAAAGGAUAAUCCCAUAAUUAUGUUGUGUUGAGGUCCCCAAGACGACCCUCUAGUUCAAGACUCAUAGAACUCAGAAAAGUGAUUAUGCUGACUGUUACAAUUUAUUAUAGCAAAAAGAGAGUUUAAACUCAGCAAAAGUAAAAGGUAGGUAGGGAAGAGUCCACAAGACCAGGCACAAGCCUCCAACUGUCCUAAGUAAGAGAUGCCGGACAACACGUACGGAAUACUAUCAACCAGGGAAACUCACCUGAGACUUCACGUCCAGGGUUUUUAUUGGGAGUUGGUCUCACAGGCAUAGAGCACCCUCAUGGCUGACCCUACUCGGUUUCCAGCUCCUCCAGAGAUCAAACUGAUACCACAUGGUGCAAGGCCCCCACCACGAAUUGUGGUUAGCAUAAGCUAUCUGGUAUGGCUCAAGGCCCCAAGUAAACAAAGGCACUCACAUGAAGCAGGAUAUUCCAAGAGCUUAGAGGUUAUCUCCCAGGAGCUGGUCAAGGGCCAGACUUAUCUUUGGAAUGUGCAGGAUUUGCAUAAGCCAGUCCUGCUAAGUCAAUUCUUCACUGUACACAUGUCAAAAGCAUUCUUAGUCCACGGGCCAUGCCUGUAUUUGACUGGAGACUCUAAUGCUAGGAUCAUGUGACUUUUUUUUCCUAUUACCUCAAACAUUGAUGUGAGAAACAUCUCUGUGCAUAUCUUAUUGUAUACAUACACAAUAUAUUGUGGGAAUGAUGACAUAGGGAACUUCCUUUAGAAAUAAAAAUAUGAAAUUGGAAACAUGCAAAAUGUCACUCUCUUUAAAAGGAAAUCAAUCUAUAAUGCUAAUCACUAGGACUUAAAAAUUAUUUAUUUAGAUGCAAGACUACAAAAUCUCAGCCUUUCUUAAUAAGGAAACUGCAUUUGUGAUGUGGUGUACUAUAUAUAAAAUCCAUGUUAGAUACCAUUAAAGGUCUCAAGAAAUAUUAAACUUGAGUAUCACGUGCAUUUUAUCAUAAGUAACAAAUUGCUCUGUUUUUUCUGCUAUUACAUAUAAACAGAAAAAAAUUUUUGUCAAAUUGUUUUAUUACACAUAUUUUCUCCUAAUCUGAACUGUAACCUUCAUAUGAAUGAACGUCAUGGUUACAAAAUAAGCCUUAGAUAAUUGUGGAAAGUCAAAACAUGACCAACGUAGGAGACAGUGGUAGUUCACAAACUGUACUUACUGUUAAUAUCUUCCAAUGGAGCUGAAUUUAAAAUAAAAUAUUGGACUGUUUUUCCAUCUAUAGCUAAGACUUUGUUUUACAAUUAAAACUUCAAUUUGAUUUUCCAGUGUUUGAAAAAAACAAUUCAUUCUUCUUUCUUCCUGUUACAAAUGUCUAUGACAAGUUUCAAGUGUUCAACAAUUUCCAAACCUAAGUAUGAUGCAGAACUUUAGCUCUGUAAAAAGACUUAGAUGGGGAACUGUUAUAAGCAAUGUGUAAUUUCAACUUUACUAAAGUGAUGAAAAAAAGUGUAAGCUGUUUUGUCAAGCUCUUUGCCAACCCUUGGUAUUAUGUGACAGGGUAUGAAACAGUAUCUAAUUGUUAUUCAUUUGCAUUUCCAUUUUUCAGACCUAAAACAUGUUUGUUAGUUAACCCUUUGGUCCUCUUUUGUUUUCCCCUUAAUUAAUCCUUUAUAUAAUCUGGACACUUUUCCCUUCAACUUUUCAGUGUGGCCUAUUACAGGAAAAGGUUUUCCAAUGUUAAACCAUCCUCCCAUUCUGGCAAUAAAAUUUACUUUGUCAUAGUGAAUGUGCAUUUUUUAAUUGGUGAAUUUGAAAUGCUAAUAUUUAGGCUAUUUCAGCCAUGUUCAUAAGAGAGAUUGGCCUACACUUCUCUCUCUCACAUAUCCCAUUUGACUUCAGAAUCAAAAUUGAGCUUUCCCUUUUUCCUAUUCUCCAGAACAGUAUUUAUAAAGAUUACUUUUUUCUUAGAGGUUUAACAGACCGUACUAUAAACCAUCGAGAUCUGGUGGAUUCCAUGGAGCAGAUUUUUAAAAAUAGAUUUAGAUUUAUUUAGUGAUAUUAUAUAUGCACACACGCAAUGAACUACAUUUAAAAAUAUUUAUCUAAAGUUUCAAAUUUAUCCAAUAAAUUCAUAAUAGCUUUGUCAUUUAAGAAAGUCUUAACUAUAUGUUUAUUCAUAGCUUAUUUCUUUCCUGAUAUGAAGUUGUCUUUCCUAUUGAAAAAGAAUUUUUUCGAGACAGAGAGCCCAUAAAUUCACACAAUAUGGUCAAUUAAUUUAUGCCAAAGAGCCAUGAAUAUACAAUGGAAAAAGGACAGUCUCUUCAAUCAAUGGUGUUGGGGAAACUGGACAACCACAUGCAAAAGAAUGAAAAUGGACCGCUGUGCUACACCAUACACAAAAAUUAACUCAAAAUGGAUUAAAGAUUGGAAUGUAAGACAUAAACCAUAGAACUCCUAGAAGAAAACAUGGGCAGCAUGCUCUUUGACAUUGGUCUUAGGAACGUCUUUUUGGAUAGGUCUCCUCAGGCAAGAGAAACAAAAGAAAAAAUAAAUAGGACUAUAUCAAACUAAAAAGCUUCUGCACAGCAAAAGAAACUAUCAAUAAAAAGACAACCUGCUUAUUAGAAGAAGAUAUUUGCAAGUCAUAUAUCCAAUAAGCAGUUAAUAACCAAAACAUACAAAAAACUCGUACAACCCAACAAGACAACCUGAUUUAUUUUAUUCCGUCAUUUUGAAAAUUGUCUCCGUGUCUGAUAUACACAUUAGUAAAUUUUUUCCCAAUGGCAUUCGAAUAGAGGCCCGAGAGGUCAGAAACUUCUGUGUUUCAUUCAUUGCUUUACCAUCAGGACCUUACUGUGCUUGGCACAUUAAAGAGGUACUCACAAUAAUUUUUAAGCGAAGCAUGGUCAUGGUGAGAGCAAGACUGGAGCAUACACUUCCUCUUUCUCAUGGAACUCUUCCUCUCCCUCCAUGCUGUCUUAGGGUCAGAAGGUGCUUUGUAGUUCCCCAGGCUGCUGUGUAGAGCUCUGCUUCCCCCUUCCUGAGGCGCAGCACCUUCUAGGGUCUUGGCUUCGUGCAGAGGUCUCAGUCCCAGCUUCCCUGCAUUUUGUCAGGUCAGAUCCCUUACUGGUACAGUCCCAGUGUUCACAGGUGAGACUCACAGCCAAGAUUACCAACCCCUGGACAGAGCAGCUUUCAGCUCUGGAGUUUACUGCUCUGGCUUUGUUUUCUCUUCAUUUCUGGUAGCUGGGAUUUUCUUUUGCAGUCAGCUGUGUGUAUCUAUUAUGUCUUAUCUGACAUCUCUAUGAAUUUGGAGUGAUGGGAUAGUGGUGGUAGGAGGAUUUACGUUAGUUCAGUCUACCACGCCACCAAGAUUCCUGGAAACAAACUCUAAGUGAGAGGGGGUUGGGAAAACCCCACCAUCUUGUUUAAGCUACUGUUUUGGAGUUUUCUGUUAUACUGCAGUCAGGUUCAAUCACUAACUGAUACACUCUGAAAAACAGAUCAAAUGAAGAAAACACAAACUGAGAGUUGGAAGAAAAUGUUUAUAUUGUAAAAAGGUAUAAAAGUAGAAAGCCAGUAAGAACAGGGAGAGAAGAAAUUACAAAUGGCGGAUUAUGAGAGGUUGCUUUAAAACAUGGUAACCAGGAGAUGAUUUGGACAAAACCAUAGGUAAUGAAGGUUUAUAUACCAUAACCACUAGAUGGAAAGGCAUCUAUAAUUAACCAAUUUUAUUUGUAUUAGCAGUACAGUCAUAUGUUGCUUAAUGACAGGGAUACGUUCUGAGAAAUAUGUCAUUAGGCGAUUUUGUUGUUGGGUAAAUGUCAUAGAGUGCACUUACACAAACCUAGAUGGUAUAACCUACUAUGCACCUAGGCUAUUAUGGUACUAAUCUUAUGGGACCACCAUCCUAUACACAGUUUGUCAUUGACUGAAACGUUGUUAGAUGGCGUAUGACUAUAUUGAGACUAAUUCUCUCUACACUUCCACCUUUCAUAAAAGAAUGCAAUCAAUGAAGACCUAGAUGGCUCCAAUGUUUUCAGUCCGUAUCUCCAGUUAUCAGUGAUUUUUCUUCUCCCCAAAGCCCCAGUACAUACUUGUGUAUUCUAGUUGUAAGUCCUUGUAGUUCUUCUGUGUGGGAUGCCACCACAGCAUGGCUUGAUGAGGGGUGCUAGGUCCAUGCCCAGGAUCUGAACUGGCAAACCCCAGGCCACCAAAGCAGGGCGUGUGAACUUAACCACUCGGCCACAGGGCCAGCCCCUAUCAGUGAUUGACUACAGGAAAGUAGGAUGAAGUAGAGACCUGCCUUCUUGUGUUAAGAAAAUAGUAAACCUUUAAUUACGCAACUUAAUUCUUGAGUAUGCUUUUGCCAUUUGAUCUCUGUUUACUCUUCCCUACAACAUUAGCAUGAUGGAAGUAAAAUCAGGUGGUCAUCAUUUAACAUUUUAGUUCUGUUUUCAACACCUAAGCAAGGGUACAACUAAUUUAAACAACAAUAUUUCUAACAGUAAACAAGUGUGUGUAUGGUAAAAUAAGUUGGCUUUUCUCAAUUUUAAAGGGUAUAUUAUCACCUGAUACUAACUCCAUUAAAGAUGAGUUGUGUGUCUUCCGUUAAGCAGGCACCGUGCUAGUACUUUAGGAAUCUCUCACAUCAAUCACUGUCACAACUUUAGGGAAGACUUGUGCUCUGGUCUAUCCAGAGCACCCUCACAGCACUCUCCAACCCUUCCCCAAACAGCCUAUUUUUCCUUACUGUUACAACAUGUAACAUGAAAUGGAUGUCAUGCCCACUUUGUAGAGUCGGAGGGACAAAACAGUUCGAUCAUUGUCAUAUGGCCAGAAAGUAGCAGUGCUAUGACACGAACCCAGGGCUUUGGUUCCAAGAUCAACAUUUUUAUAGCGCCAUUAUGAUGGCUUUAUAAAAUUUCUCAUCAGUGCACUUUCAUUUAUAUUUAUAGGACCAUUUUCUCCAACUGGCAGUCACUUUCUUAAUUUUCUUAUUAAAAGAAAAACACUGUGAAGAAGUAAAGUAAAAAAUGAUCUAAUCCUUAGGAGUACAAUGGCAAUUGCACAGCUGUCAAAAAAAAAAAAGUGGUUUGAGAACAUUCCUACUUGUCACGUUUGCUCUAGGAUUAUCUUCCAUUGAGCGGGGGAGGGGAUCCUAUUUAAAAACAAGAAUACAAGUUUAUUCAACAAAAAUUUAACACGCCUAACACUGAAUUUAAGAAGAUGAAUAAACCUGUCUCUGUCCCCAAGCGGCUCAAAAUGUAAGAGGGGAAGCAGACGUGUAGAUAAGUUAGUGAUAAAUUUAGCACAAGUGACAGUGCUAAAUUAGAAGUGAGUACAAGGCAUGUUCAUGGCACAAAGAAGAGGCCAGUUUUACCCAGAAGGUCCAGGAUCCAGACACUACUGACCUGACAUCUGAGCUGAGCUUUGAAGAAUGGGGAUAUUUCCGGAGUGCUUGGUAUGUGCCAGGCAGUGUGCUAAGUAAUUUAUCUGUGUUACCUAAUUAAAUUCUCAUUACAAUUUAGGAGACGGGAAACCCCAUUUUACAGACAAGUCCAGGUGGUUUAACCUAGAACACACUUUGCUAAAUAUUGUGCUCGACUGACACACACAAACACACAAGAAGAGAUCGCUGGAUGGACUCGCGGAGGUAAAGAGACUUUUAACGCUAUAAUGUUGUCAUUUACAUACAAGGAAUAUGAGGUCAGCAUGCUUCAGGAAUUAGCCAAAGGUCACAUAAUAGACUACAUCCUUUAUUCUCCCAAGGGCCUAUCUGUUGUAUGAUCACUUUUCCCCAAAAAUGUUAUUCUCUUCCUGCUUUUCCCUUUAACUCCUUCAAACACUCCAGUGGCACUGAGAGCUACUUCAAAUCACAUGCCAACGCACCAGAGGGUGAACUCAUUAAAUGAGCACAGCACAAGGACACACUAUUUAAUAGGGUUAGUCUACAUUUCAAACAAGAUAUUUACUAUAAAUAUCUGGUUUAUAAGCAAUGAUCUGAAAAGCUUGAGAAACAAGUAAAACAGGUUUGCCAACUCUUAUGAACACUGCUUCUUACAUACUGAACUUGUCACACAUAGAAAGAAAUACAAGGCAUGAAUUCAAACCCCAGGACAGCCAACACAACUUUAGAAAAGACUUGUGCUCUGGCCUACCCAGAGUACUCCUCUAACUCUUAGGGUUACAACAUCCCCGUAUGGCACGGCCACAUUAAGUUUCCUACUCUGAAUAGCUUUCUCUAAUGUCAACCCUGUGGAGUCUUCUCUGUCUUGUCCGAGUUGCUCGAGAUAUGUUCAAUCAUUUUUUAAUACAUAAGCAAACAGUACAAUAUUCAGUUUGAAGCUAAGAGUCUGAAUGCGUGUGAGAAAAUAAAAAAGUCUGAAUGACUUCCUUAGGGUCAUAAUAAAAACUCUAUCAUUCUUAUCGUUUACGCAGUUUUGAAAACACACUUUCCUCUACAGGUUGAAGGUGGACAACUAUUAAGACGGACGAGGAUUCUAACGUCGAGAACUUUGCUCUAGGUAGUGUGCAACUAUAAUCUCUUGUUCUGGUUUAGGCUUAACAUAUAAAUGGAAAGAACAGUUAGGGAAUUUUCUUGGUAUCACUGCAUUUAUUUCCCACUUUAAAGUGAAGAUCCAAUUAUAAAUCCUACUGACUCUAGAACUAUAACAAUAUGACAAUUGACAGAGGGUAAAAAAUAUCUGCAAACUUAUCAGUAAGAUAAGGACAAAAGUGAACUUUUAUUUGGCAGCACAGCAUACACUGGUUCUGAAAAGGUAUGAAAAUCGGAAUCACACGCUUGUAAAAAAUUAGAGAUGUUCCACUCUAGAUUGAUACUACCUCUGAAGCGAGGGAUCUCCAUCACUUUAACUGCUCUGUGAUUACAAGCAACUUGAAACUUUUCUGAGUCCCAGUUUCCUCAACUGUAGAGUUGCUGCUAGGGUUAGAUGAGAACAUAUAUGAAAGUACCUAGAUAAGUAUCUGUGCCAUAACAGGUGUUUCAUAUACACUGCGGUAUUUAUGAAUACUUGGAGAGUAAUAAAGAUGUGUUUAAAUGAGUGACAAAUUCAGAGGAACAAAUUCAGGGUGUCCACCACCCAAAGACUAAGGAUUGUUAAUGCAAAGAUGAAGAAUUGACAGAACAGAUUUUCCCUUUUUAUAUAAGUUUUACAAUUUAAAAAAACUGGUCUGAAUAAAUGUCUAAAAGAGAUCUUUAAGUAGCUAUAAAAUAAAUUUGAAAUGAUGAGAAAAAAAGCACUCUAUCCGUUUCUCAAGAUUUGUUUUUCUUCUUUCUCAGUAUAUCAAAUCCUGGUGUCAUAUAAUCAAUGGCAUUUCUUAGUUUUGAUGAAAUAGUUUUAAAAGAUGAAAAGAUAAUAUAUUUAGCAUAAUGUAUAAUAUUGAGGUUUGUGGAAGGGGCCUUCCUAAGAAAGACAACAAGACCCAGAAGCCACAGAAGAUUACAUAACAGUUUUAAAUAGUUAAAAAACACAUGACGGGGGCUGGCCCGGUGGCACAGCGGUUAAGUUUGCACGUUCCACUUUGGUGGCCCGGAGUUCGCUGGUCUGGAUCCCAGGUGUGGACCUACGCACUGCUUGUCAGGUCAUGCCAUGACAGGUGUCCCACAUAUAAAGUAAAGGAAGAUGGGCACAGAUGUUAGCUCAGGGCCAGUCUUCCUCAGCAAAAAAGAGGAGGAUUGGUGGCAGAUGUCAGCUCAGGGCUAAUCCUCAAAAAAAAAGACUAAAAAAAAUCUGAGAAGGAAAUAUUUGCAACACAUAUAACAUAGAAAGAAAAAAUGUCCAAAGUAUAUAGAGUUCCUAGAAAGCAAUAAGAACAAAUUAACAAAAGAAAUAUGGGCAAAGAAUUUGAAUAUGCAAUCAAAAAAAAUAAAAAUGAAAGAAAAAAGCCAAGAAAGAUAUAAAAAGACAACUUCUCCUUUAGACAAGGAAAUGCAAUUAAAAAAGAGAUACUACUUUGCAACCAUUAGAUCAGCAAAAAUGAACAAGAUGGAUAACGCCCUGGCAAAGAUGUGAGGAAACAGGUGCUCUCUCACACUGUUAAAGAAAAUGUAAACUGGCAGACUCUCUGGAGAUUAACUUAGCAGUAUCUAUAAGUAUUUUAAAUAGACGUGUUCCUUGACACAGCAAUUACACCUUUACACACUGUCUUGUACAAUUAGUUACAUCUAUGCAUCAAAAUAUUUGUAUUUUGCAGGACUGCCUAUAAUAGUAAAAUAUUGGAGCAACCUAAAGAUCUACUAAUAGAGAAGUAAAUACCAUAUGGUACAUUUAUAUAUGGAAUUAAAAAAAUAUGUGGUGUACAGAUACGGCAAGUUCCCCAAAACGCAAUGAAGAAAAGGACAAGAGAGAUAUAGUAUGAUCUCAUGAUAUUAAAAAUCCCACCCAUAUUAGCAGAGUAUAUGUGUGUAAAAACACAAGAGUUUGGAAGGAUCAACACCAUUAACAAUUUCGAGUGUAACAGAAAGAAAGGCUGUGGCAUGUGAAUGUGAAGAGAACAAAGAGGCACUUGCACAUUUUACUCUAAAUAUUACGGAGUGAAUGACCAAAGAUUUAGAAAGUUGGCUGAAAAUGAAGGAUUUGCUAAUACCCAGUCCCCCAGCUGUUUCUCAUUCAUACUCAUAUCUUUACUCGAAAGUAACGCAGCAUUCUGGUUAAUACGGAAUCUUUAGGGGCUACUGACUACAUACAGGAGAUAAUUUUAAGCAAGUGAUUGUUAAAUAUAAAUACGAUACCCAAAACAGUAAUUUUCACAGAUAACUUAUAAUGUCAAAAUUAAGGCAACUGUAUACCUUCAAGGACGUGUCAGACUUUUUCAAUCAAAGAAACUUUACAAAAAUCCUUUUUUUCCUGGGGACUUUGAGCUCUUAUAGAAUGUGCACGAAGAACAAGCAGCAAAGGGGAGUUCUCACACCACUUUUAAAAAACAAAACAAACAGUGCAAACCCUGUUUUUCAAUAUUUUUAGACAGUAGGACAAAUACUGAACACAUAGUUCAAUGGUCCUUAAAGACUCACUGUGAAAUAAGCUAGGGAAGGUCUGAGCUUGUGAACUAGCUGUGAGUGCAUCCGGUCAGUCCCAGGACAGCAGCUGAGCAGCUGGGCAGCUUCUGCGGCCAGGGUUCGGAUUCCUGCAGCAGCUCUGCUCAGCCUCACAGGAAUAGCGUGUAUUACAUUAUAAAAACACCCUCGGGACUGGUUCUUUUCAUAACAUUAAGGAAGCUAAGGCCGAUAUUAAAAAGUAAUUCUAAUUUAUAUACAUAUAAAAAUCCUACAUGUGAAACUGCUGUUGGUUUCAUACUGUACUGGUAGCUUUGUGAAGAACUAAAAGUUAAAGAAAACCACCUUUCACUUGAAUCCAGAUUUUGAUGCUAGCAUAUUUCUAGUUUUAAGAAAAAUCUCAAUAUUAAGCCAUUAACAAUGAAAAGAGAUCAAAUAGUCACUUACUAUAAUUUUGCAUAACAUUUGGCACUGAAUAACACUUUAACCUUUAUCAAAAAGUAGAAUCACUUUUUUAAAAAACUGAAAUGAAUAGAUCUAAAAGGUAAAACUCUCGUAUAUCACAGAUUCCCCACUUUAACCAACAAUUUUCAAUUACUAAAGUGUACAGGAGACAUUUGUUUGGCACCAUAAAACUCUACUAUUCUGAAUCAAUGAAAUGAGAAAGAUAAAAUGAAACAGAGAGAAGUUAAAUAAUUUAUGCCAAAUGCUUAGCAAAUAAUUAUGAGGAGAGAGAUCAAAUCUUCAAACUUGACAGAAGAUAGUUGGAGUUGAAUUUCAGAACGUAUUCAAAUACUACUGAAGAAAUCCAACUUUUUAUUACGUUCUCUACAAUCAAUUAAAUAAGAAAUGGCAGUGAGUAAACAAGGGGGAGAAACGGGGACUUCUAACAUUUACUCAGAUUCCAUAACAUUUUAAACUGACAAGCACAUGUUCAUCAGAAAAAUAUUUCUUUUACAUUUCUAAUAAAUGCACAGUUUUUUUUUUUUUUAAAGAUUUUAUUUUUUCCUUUUUCUCCCCAAAGCCCCCCGGUACAUAGUUGUGUAUUCUUUGUUGUGGGUCCUUCUAGUUGUGGCAUGUGGGACGCUGCCUCAGCGUGGUUUGAUGAGCAGUGCCAUGUCCGCGCCCAGGAUUCGAACUAACGAAACACUGGGCCGCCUGCAGCGGAGCGCGCGAACUUAACCACUCGGCCACGGGGCCAGCCCCAUAAAUGCACAGUUUUUAAAGAAAUCCAGGCAUAUAUUUUCCUAUCAGGGUGGGGGACAGUUCAGUAUAACUUACAAUAUUUCAUUGUAUUAAUUAAAACAAGAUAAAUACUCAAAUUUUCAUUUAACUACAAUUCAACUUUCAUGUUGAGCUUUUUCUAAGUGACAAAGUGCAGCAAAGCAAGGAUCCCAGUAUAUAAUCAGGAAAGUAUGUAACACAAAGAUAUAAACACAUGACCAUUAAACAAAAGAAAAAAGAGCAAUGAAUUAAAAAGCCCUAGGGGCCCAGUGGCACAGUGGUUAAGUUCACAUGCUCUGCUUUGCUGGCCCAGGGUAGGCAGGUUUGGAUCCUGGGCACGUACCUACACAUGGCUCAUCAAGCCAUGCUACGGUGGGGUUCCACAUUCAAAGUAGAGGAAGACUGGCACAGAUGUUAGCUCAGUGACAAUCUUCUUGAAGGAAACAGCAGAAGACUGGGAACAGAUCGUAGCUCCGGGCCAAUCUUUCUCACGAAAAAAAAAAAAAAAAGACCACUAGAAUUAGGAAUAUUAGGAAUUUAACCCAUAGGCCAUUUGGUAGCUUACACCAAAGGAUAUGCUAUUUUUUUCAUACUGGAGAAUAUAAAAGAAAAAUUCUGUAUUUUAUUCACUGAGGUUCAAAGGUAAAUUGAUGGGAAACUUCCAAAUAUGUUAAUUUGACAAAUACAUUUCAUAAAACUACCUCUAAAUAAUGACAGUUCUAUAAUACAUUGCAAUAUUUUUCUUGAAGUAUUAUAAAUUAUAAAAUAAUUUAAGCAUUUGACCAGUUUCAAAUGAAUAUGUGGAACUGAAAUAUACAUUUUGCAUCCAAUAGAACAGCUCCACUUAACAAAUAAUGAAAAGCUAAUCCAUAAAAAUUAUAAUUACAAAAAAACAAAAAUUACUUUAUUGAUCAAACAAAAUACAACUAGAAAGACAGCACCUUUUUUAAGAACAAGUCUCCAGGCCUUUAUUACACAUUUUUAUUUAAUCGUGAAUUUCUCAUAACACGUAGACAUCUUCCAUAGGAGACGCAUCGAAUGUGAAUUCUACUUCUGGAUUCAGGCAUAGACGAGUUUAGGGACACUUGCCAAGCUGCUAGAAUAAAGUGUACUUCUUAAGUAAUUUUGGUUUUGUGGUGGUGGUUCUGUUUUUCACCUAUACAGAACGCGAACGUGUCACCAAAAAAAUGAAAACUUAAAGUUGAUCUCAUGGACUUGAAAAACAAAGUGACAGAAAAUUAAUUUUAAGUAGAGUAUUCUCAAUAAAAGCAUGAAAUAUGAAAGCAUCAUUUAAACCAAACAGUACAUAUCUAGAACUAAUUAUCAAGUGUGAGCUUCUCUUUAUUUUGAAAUGUAUGGCACAACUAUACCCUGGGAAAAAAUAACACGUGACGAACAUGUUUUUAAAAUAAUAACAACAAUAGCUGCCAUUUAUCAAGAGCUUAGUGUGUACCAGGAACUGUUCCAAUACUUGACUGGUAUUGGCUCAUUUUAUCUCCUAACAAUCUUAUUAGGUAGGUACUGUUAUAUCCCAGUUUAGAAGACUGAGGAAACUAAGGCACUGGGAGUGUAAUAACUUCCCUAAAGUAACGAAGCUAGUAAGUGGCUUGGUAAGGACGUGAGUUCAAGAAGCUGGGCUUCAAAAUUCUUUGCCACUGAAUUACAGUGAUAUCAAAGAUUCAAACCAUUUCCAUUAAGCCAGAAAAUUGGUGGCUAAAAUAAAAACAACUUAUGUCCAGUUUAAAAGUCACAGCAGUUAUUUAUUGAACACCUAAAAUAUGCUACAUACUAUGAUGAGGCAUUGUGGCGAGCAUUAAUAACAGUUAGUGUUUCAGCAUUUACUGAGUACUCAAUGUGACAAGCACUGACUAAUGACCCACUUUACAUUCAUCGUCUAGGUCAAUCAUUACAACAAUCCUGUCAAGUGCAUACCAUACCUAUUUUGCAGAUGAGAAAAGCACCGAGGUGUGAAACAGUGGCUUUCCCUCCUCCAAAUCACAUAGUGAAUUCACUGGUAGAGCCCAGACAGGUACAAAUGUAUGACGUCAAAGCACACUGCAAUGCCUACGAAUCUGACCCCACUCAACAAAGGACAUUCUUUUGUCCCAAUACUCAGAGUCUCAUGCCAUGUUAGAGAUACAAUAAAACAAGUGAAAAGAUAUGACAGUAAUUUAAAUUUACAGUAAUUACAUUAAAAAUCAAGCCUCUGCAUACUAUUCUUGCCAAAUCCUCUACUCUAGGUUAACGGCUGAUAUUCCAAGUCAGUUGAAGUAAACAUCCACCUCCCAGCCAAUUCAUGUAGUACAGCUGAGUGUAGGAUGUUUACAUGAACUGAAACUUGGUUUAAAGCAGGACUUACAAAAUCCUUUACUGUGUUUACAUUGGUCCUUUACCUGAGACUCAAAUUUACAUUAAGUACAUAUGAUGAAUUAUUAUUUUAAAAAAGAUAACUUUGUAGAAUCUGUUGAAAAAAGAACAGGAGGUACAGUUAUCCACAUCAAUAAGGCAAGAGUCCACUUGACAGGCAUUCUGAGACAAAGUUUAGAAACCAAGAGAAAAGGCUGAAGCGCCAUUCUUUUCACUGAAGUAAUUUAUGGCAAUAUAUGCAGACAUCCAGUAAAUGUUCCACAGAUCUAAAUGUGGCUGAUUUUACAGCCUCUCAUAUUCCUAUAUCCCUCUCUUCAAAACAACUCAACUUGCAUUUAUAGGAACACAUUUGACGGCCAGUAUGAUGCAUCAAUCACCCAUUCUUUCUCCUGAAGAUUCCUGUUUUGGGUCAAAGACAAAGUUAACAGAACACCUCCGAGGAGCUCAAAGCUUCGCUUUGGCCUUUCUUUUCCUUAUUUCUCAUUUUUCCCCCAUUCCCACAUCUCUCCCCACCUCCUCCCCCACACUCAUAGUUCAGAUCGCUUCACCUCAGGAGCAUCUUUCCCACACUCUCAUCUCUUCCCACCUUCUCCUGCCCCAAGCGGUAAGCCGUCUCACAGAAACCCCUUCCUCCUCUCUGCAUUCCUCUGAUUAAAAAAAUAUUACCAUGAAUACCUCUACUGAGCAUUAAAAGUGACCCUAUCAAGACACUUGCAUCAAAGAAGAGAAAAUCCUCAAAUUUGGAAGUAAAAUUAAAGAUAAGAACCACUGCCAGCAAAUUUAAACAUCUUUGGAAUUUCAGAAGCACCCCAGGACCUUCGGGAACCUCCUAAGUGUCUACCUGGCCUCUUGUCCCCUUCCGGCUACUUGUCCUGAAGCAUCAGUUCUCAAGAUUAAAUAUACACAAAUACUGUUUUUUUUCCCUCUACAAGUACACUGUUUUUCUGUUUCAACUACUCCACCACGAUAAGUUUUUUUGGUCAGCUUUUCCUUGCAAACAGACUCAAAUAAAUUUUGUGAGCUAGACAAUUAAUAUGUACUUCCUCUGGGAGAAAAAUGAGUCCCAGGUUUUCAAUAAACCUUUUUAACAAAGGUUUGGAUUACUCUAUGUUUUUAAGUUGGGAUUUUAUGUAUUUUUCUUCAGUACUAAGUGGGCAUUAUACCAGAGGGAAAGGAACGCACAAUGAGCUCUGUGGCUCUGAAAGCAUGGAGCCAGAACAGCAGCAUCAGCAGCACUGGGGAAUGUGGGGGGAAAAUGCACAUUCUCCAGCCCCACCCUAGUCCUACUGAAUCAGAAACUGUUGCAGGGCCUAGCAAUCUGUGUUUUAAUUAACAAGCCCUCAAACUAAUUGUUUCACCAAAUUUGCUGGAAAGCAAAAGCAACGACAGCAGUGAAUGUCAAAUUAUUAAGAAGUCUGUAAAUAAGCUACAGCUAAGAAAACAGGGAACGUCAGAACACGUAUCAUAUGUCCACCUAUAAUUCUGCAGGCUGUGGCAGAGGCUAUCUGAAAUAACAUGAUUUUGAAAAGUAAUUAAGUUCAGGGCCCGGGCCCAUGGCCUAGUGGUUUAAGUUCAGCACGCUCUGCUUUGGCAGCCUGGGUUAGGUUCCUGGGCACAGGCCUACACCACUCAUUGGGAGCCAUGCUGCGGUGGUGACCUACAUACAAAAGAGAGGAAGAGUAGCAUGGAUGUUAGCUCAGGGUGAAUCUUUCUCAGUGAAAAAAAAAAAAGGAAAAGUAAUUAAGUUAAGAUUGAUACUCACACUCAAAAAACCUUCCUGAAUAUGCACAGUAAAUAAAAGCACAUUCAUUCAGUGAAAGAAGUGAAGUUUUAAGUGGAGGAGUAAAAGGGAGCCAGAGUCAGAAUGCACCAAAUGCAAUGAGGAAGGCAUGCUGGUAUUUCAAGUUCACCAUCCACUUCUGGGUCACCCCAAGCCUCUGACUUUAUGUAGAAGGGACUCAGGCACUGUGACUAAUGAAGACCCAUUCAACAAGGUAAUUUUAACCAAGAAUAUUUGUACACAGCAUAUCUAUUUGGAAAUGAAGCUGAAGACACAAUUUUGUAGUUGUUCAAAAAUCUUGAACGCUAAAGAAUUUUUGAGUUUUCUAUGACCUGUUCGUAAAGACCACACACUUCUCCCUAAAUACCAAGUUAGAGGAUCCGGACACAAGCUGUUAUUUUACUGGCAAAUACUGAUGACCUAACGUUUUAAGGCAUUUGUUCUACAUAAUCAAUUGCUAAAUUUGCAGGUCAAUGGGAAGUUGGUGGUUCUUCAAAAUUAAAACAUAAAGAUGUCAUCUGCGAGUGACUAAAAGGUUGUAGAAGCAAGGGCAUCCAGAAUUAAAGCUGACGUGGUCUCCAAUCCACCUCAUUAGGGCAGAAUAAUAUGGAACAAACGUUACAUAACACAGGCUGUACCAUUCAUCCUGCAGCAUCCAGGAAUAAGUGGACUAGCUGGGCACAGUAUAACAGCUUUAUGCGGAAUGCAUAUCCCUCUUUUAGCUUACAUUUCGGCUAUCAUUUUGAAAAAUCUUUCAAAUCCAGCUGUGCAAAUUAUUAAACUAGGUAGUUUCUAUCCCCCUUACUAAAUUUGAAAUCUAUAUAGCAAACUUUUUCAUAGGAAACAAUGUCACCUGGUCCAAUGAAAUAACCCAAUCACCAGAGAACUCUUUCUACCUUUGCCAGGAAACACUUCUCGGGCUCUCAGAAACGGCUCUAUCCACCUGCUGCUAUCUGGAAUCUGAGGCUCCCAAAGUGCUAAAACAGGGUCACAGAAUAUACAAUAAAUCUGCUUUAUGAAGAAGGAGGAGGAAGGGAUGCCUGAUGCAUGCUCAUCAUCAACCCUGAAAAUUAUACUUACAAGUUGCAAAACCACUUGUGUCGGAAUCAACUAACUACCCUCCCUCCCUCUACUCCCGGCCAAAUAAGUCUUGUAAACUACCACUCUAACAAAGGAGAGUUUAAAAAUCAAUGCUGUAGCACAGAUACAUCUGAAAUGGCUACAUUAUCACCCAAAUGGUUAUUUGCUCACCAGGAUAAAAGAUAAAAGGAAAUAGCAGACACGGAUGCAAGAAAAUAACCUGAAAUACUCAGGAAAACACAGUUAAUAAACUAAGACAAAUAUAACCAAUGGUAAAUGCUGUAAAUAGGCUCAGUGGUUUGAAGUCAUGCAAUUUUUUAGAGAGAAGACUUCUGAUUAGGAGCUGUGCCAUCAUUCAGGAGGAGGAGAACAGGAAGUUGGGGGGUUGGGAGGACGGAGACAAAGUUAACACAGCAUCUCUUCACUCCAGAGAAAACUGAAUGUUCCAGGUUGUAUACUGCCGGGGAGUGGUGGCGGUGGUGGUGAUAAAUUUAUUCUCCAGAACGGCUGUGGAAUUUCUAAAGGAGGAAAUCAGGCCUCUGAACAGUUGGGAAGUUAAACUCUAGCCUACUUGGAAAGGCAAUAAAGAAUAAAAGUUCACUGACAGGGCAAAAACAGAAAUAAGAACCCAUAGUGGAAAAAAAUUUUUUUAAACUAAAUUCUCUAAGGCACAGCAGCAGCAUCUUAAGUCUGGGAAGCUCCGAUGGCAUCUGGUACAGGAUAUCCUGUUAUUAUGACAGCAUCCCACACUAAACUCUAUCAUAAUACAUGCACUCUCACAGAUAGCAGUAAAUGAAGAAAUCUAAAGAUUUCUGGUGUUUUUCCACACCCAUUAGAUAGUCUCCCAAUUCCACUUCUUCGACAUAAUUACACCAAAAUGACGUCUGUGAACAGCCGGUCGCAGCAAACAUCUGACUGAAAGCUUAGCCAUGUCUCACAGCUUCCAGUCGGGGAUGUUUACAACCACAGACUUUCUGAACAACAAAGUAACAGAAGGAAUAGACAGAAAUGUUGCCAGUCACCAGCUUUAUCUAAUGAUUUAUAGGCUUUCUAGGGCUGAAUGCUAUCUGUGACAUCUUGGAACAAAAAUGAUAAAGUUAAUGAUAUUAAUUAGCAAGAGAAUAAGUGGUUCACCAAUAGCAAUUUUUCCUAAACAAACUAAUUAAAAAAGAAGAUAUGCACAAUAAAUUUAUCUUGGCAAAUAUGCAACAUUAAAGAUAUUACUCAAUUAUCCUACAUGAAUAUACAUUUUUUAUUUAAUACAGGCAAAAAUGAGGUUUUCUCUCCCUAAACUGAGUUUCAAAAUUAAUAAGAAACAAUACACUAGAAUGACAACCCUAAUGAUUACAGUGACCAUAUAUCUGCCCCAAACAGUGCCAAUUUAUGCCUGUCGCCCUGAUAUAAUUAAAGUGACUCCUUUCAUUAACAAAAGUGUCUUAAUUUAGACUGCUAAUGCAGUGGGUUUGACCGGCAGUGGAUUUACACUGAGUGAGGCUUAAUACUUUCCUCCCCCACCCCCAGUUGAUUUGCGUUAGGGAUGUACAGCCCAUCCAUGGAAAUGAACAAAGCAAAGGAGAUAAUAAGAGGAACAAACUCAUGACCUUGGCUUUGUUUAUAAAGCAAUACACUAAAACCAUUUUGUUUCCUACACCACUUUCCUGAAAGAGAGAAGGAAGACUAGGUGAAAUACAGUAAUCUGCACUCCAUCAAAACCAAGAUCUGCUUUAAUCUGAAACACGUAAAAUUAUUGUUUCUUAAAAAAAAACCCAAAAUGAUUAAAACAGAGUCUACAAUUGAGUCACAGUGAUUUCAAGAAAGGAACAUACACACACGUACGUACAUACAUAAGAACACAAAUGUACACACACACCCUACAGGCUAACUACUGCAAAUACCAACAGACAAACUUUUAAAAGGCUACUAAUUUUCUAGUAUCAUUUUUUUCCUUUCUAGAAAUUACGGAGUAAGGGAUUUCAGUCAUUGAUAUUUACCCGUGAUAAUAUUUAAAGGUUGCUUUCUGAAACAUAUUUUGGUCUAAAUGUUGUAAAUAACUCUACCCCUUACAGAAAUAAUGCUGGAAAUAACGAGGAAAGUGUAUGUGGUCUCUAUGGAUAUGGACCUUCAUUGUUUCUGAAGAUAAAUACUUAAAAAAAAAAAUCCAGGGGCUAGUUACAACAAAGGCUAUUCACAAGAAAGGCUAUUCAAGCUGUUCUACAAGUGAAAAGGUCCAGAUUUAAAUUAGGGAAAAAAACAGUUAUUUCAUGCCUAGGUAGGCACAUGAUACUUGACUAAUUAGGAUGCUACACAUUAAGAUGCAAUGAACUAGUUAUUACAAUUCUCUCCUUCAAUUUCCCUCUCUGUUUUCAGUUUAAUUUUUUUAAAGAUUGAACAAAAGACAGAAAUUUUUAUCAUAGCUACUAUAUUUAACACACACACAUAUAACAGAUAGAAUCUUUUCUUCAGGGUUAUUAGGGAAUUUUGUCAAUGCCAUUCAUUUGUCUAUGACAUAUUCUUUUUUUUUUUUUGCAGGGAUUCACCCUGAGCUAAUGAGUGUAUGAUGUAUUCUCGAAGGUAGUUGAAAUUAAAUGUACAGCAGUUGAAAAAGAAUAUUAUAAAAUACCUUCUAUAAUUACAAAAAAUCUUCCAGACACUAUCUUUAAUUAUAACAUACAACCUAUAUUUCAUAAAUGUUCUUUAACUUUGCUUUUUUAUUCACAAUCAAAUACACAGUAAGCAGGUCAAGUCUAAUGAGGGUGUAGCUGAGGCUAAAGAUUUACCAUUUGUGUCAUGCUUAAUGAUUUACAUCUUUGUCACAACGUAUUACAUAUUUGAGAGUUACCCUUCUUACCAAUAGUGUCAGCACUUUACUUUUCUGUUUACAAAUUUUUAUGAAAAUAGGCAAAACGCAUUACAUACAUACAAUCUGCUGUCCAGACAGAAAUGGCGAUUACUGAACUGCUGGCUGGAACAGUGCUACCGUGCAGAGACUGGAAAUGUUUGUCAAAUCCAUCUGUCAAGAGCAGUUGAUGAGUAUCCAUAUAUAAUGUAUGCCAUGCCACAUUUUGCCAGAGAUUCUGUCAUAUCACAGAUCUCUCAAGUACAGUGUUGAAAACAAGUUAGAGACCUAUAUACAUCUCUUUCAAUGUGAAAACCCAUAAUGAAGACCUUAUCUCCCCAAAAUAUGAUUAUAAGGAAGUUUUACUGGGUUUGGAAAAUUAUACUAGGAAACAUAAGAAAACAGUUAAGAAGAAAUAUCAUUUUGUAACUUACGAUAAACACACUGGAAAAGAAAUCAAAUCAAGUAAAAUUCUCAGUUGGCCUAGAUUUUGUAUCCUCUAAAAGAAAUCUAUUAAUCUGUUGAAAUUCAGUGGUACCCAGGGAAUCUCUCAGAAAUGGUAUGCCACAAUUUUGACCCUGAACUCUGAAACAGGCAGGACAGCUGGGAGGGUAGGUGCACGGAGCAGUAGCAGGGUGAUUAUGUCACGUCUUAAUGGAGACAGGGUGGUGACACGGAGAGAAUCUUGGCAGAGUGCAAGAAUUCACAAACCAGCAGAAAACAGGCAAUGGAGCAGAAAAUGCCCAUAUUAAAAACAACAACAAGAAAACUACCCCCAAAAUCAGAGAUAUCCCCCAAAAUAUCCUAUUCUUGUUUUCAACCCAUUCAAUAAUACUUAUUUUCUAUUUACUCCAUGUAAAAGAAACAGCAGAGAUAAAAAAAAAAAAGGAAAGAAAAGAAAAUGAUAUCUAAAUCAAUAAACUCAAUUUAUUUGAAAAAUUUAUAAAGUAGCAAGGUACUUAGGAUAUAAAGAUGAAAAGAACAUGCUUCCUGUUCUCUGCAGCUUAUUUACUACUUACUCAUUAUUAUUAACUGCCAUUUGUAACAAAGUGUUUUCAUACAGUUUCUCAUCUUAAGCCUUACAACUAGUUUUAAUAUUAGUAGUAGAGCAGGUAUUACUUCUAUUUUACAAAUGAGGAAUAAGGUACAAAUUGAAGAAGUGACCUGACCAAGCUCAGCCAUUCAGGACUAUUAGCCACUCUCUAGGAACCACCUACCUGAUGACAACCACUGAGGACAAAUAAGCCUGGCAAACUGAAGUCUGCAAGGUUGUCACAAAAGUCAUGGGGAAUAAUUAUGAUUUAAUAAUAAUAAUUAAUAAAUAAUAAAGUAGCCCCAUCUAAUUUCCUGGAUUCUGAAAACAAUCAAGGAGAUGAUGAAGAUGAAAGCAGCGAAAAGUACCACUCAGUUGAAAACUACAUCAUCAUCGUGAUGACACCUUCCGAUUGCAAAGCGUGUUCACACCUUGUGGAUGGAUUUUCAUAGUGAUAACUCAGAGAAGCAGGCAAGGCAGGUUCUAUAACCCCUACUACACCCAGCUUAAAUCAGUUCUGCUAUAAUAAUGAAUAUCUGUUCUCUGGAAGUAGCUAUCCAUUUCAGAUACUCUGUGUGCGAUUCAAAUUGAUUAACAAAUAAAAGUUUGCAUAAGAAACUGACUAUAAACUAUCAAAAUACAGUAGCCCCUCCUUACCCGUGGUUUCACUUUCUGCAAUGUCAACUGCGGUCUGAAAUAAUGCUAUGUCGCAAUGCCUAAAUCAUUCAUCUCACGGCAUAGGCAUUUUAUCAUCUCACAUCAUCACAGGACGAAGGGUGAGUACAGUACAAUAAGACAUUUUGAGAGAGACAGAGACCACAUUCACAUAACUUUUAUUACAGUAUAUUACUAUAAUUGUUUUAUUUCAUUACUGUUGUUAAUCUCCUACUGUGCCUAAUUUACAAAUUAAACUUUAUCAUAGGUAUGUAUGUAUAGGCAAAAACACAGUAUCUACAGGGUUCGCUACUAUCUGCAGUUUCAGGCAUCCACUGGGGGUCAUGGGACGCAUCUUGUGUGGAUAAGGGUGGACUACUGUAUAUACAUACCAUGAAUGACUUUUUCACUAGGCUUUUCUUAACCUCUUCCCCAAUUCUGUCACCUCUGACAGGAUCAUGUGCUUUUUGGUGUGGCGCGAUCACAGCUCAGACACAAACAUCUUUUGGUGCUGUUAGUGGUUAGGCUUGCAAGAUAGAGAAACAGUUCCUUUUCUCCACAAUUCUGAAUAAAACAUCACCAUAUAUUCACAGGCUACACAGCUUGAUCUAAGUCAGUGGUUCUCAGUGUGGUCCCCAAACCAGCAGCACCAGCACCAUGUAGGAAACCGUUAGAAAAGCAAUUCUCAGGCUCCCAGCCUAGACCUAACUGAUCAGGAAUUAGGGGUACACAACCCAGCAAUCUGUGUUUAAUAAGCCUUCCAGGUGAUUCUGAUGCAUGCUAAAUUCAUACAACCACCAAACCAGGCUUCUACCAUAGGUCCAAUAACAUUCCUAAUGUCUAAAUGACAGUAUAGGCCUGCUGUCAGGGUAAGCACCAGCUCUGUGGUGAGGAUGUGUCUGCGUCUGAAAGGGUUCCCUGGGUAAGGGAUUUUCCAUUUUAAAACUGGUACACUCCUGGGCCCAUAAGGACUGUGGUCACCCUAAGCGCCAUUACAGAUCAAAGCUGAAAAGACUAUUCAGUUAAAUGGAGUGGUGAUGUUAUGGACUAAACGCACAAUGCAUUUGGAGUGGAAGGAGAAGGUUACACUAAAACCCCAGGAAGCAUUAAUGCAUACUUUAGUUUAUCAUUUCGGUGUAAUUACACAUUUUCUCCAUUACUAUUCUGAACAAAGAAAGUGUAGCUUCCUAUAAGAUGAGUGCCAUAUAUUUAGAUAAGUGUUGAUUUGUUACGUACUUAUCCAAAAAAAGCCUGCAUAGGAACGCUUCAAACCUGGAGCAGGGGUGGGGCAGUGUUUUGGCAAAAUGAUGAAAUAGUUUUUAUUAAACUAUAGGGCAAUCAGAAAUUUGUAUUUUUUUUUUUUACCAAAUUCUCUGACCAUAAUCAAAACUGAUAGUGACUGAAUGGUAGCCAGCAUUUUUUAGAUUCUUAAAAUACCACCCACUGAAAGUCCUAGGUCAUAAAUGCAGUAAAAUCAGUCACCAACAACACCGAGCUGACUCUGAGUGUUAAGACCACUUGAAUCAGGGUCAGCUGAGCAGGUCUGUGGCCACACAACACUCAAGGAACUGAAAAGCAGAGUCUCUUCAGCCAACAGGGUGUGCAGAGGCUCCAAACUCUGCUUUACAGCCUUUAGUAAACACUGGAACUGCACCCAAAACAAAACAGGUCAUGAGUAUAGAUCGAGUGCUCUCCAUGAUCCGUACAGACUGCAAGCCAAAGUGCAACAUUCAAAGUUUCCCAUAAUCCUGGCGGGUAGCGCCUAUAAAUGCAUCAUGAUAAUGCAAUCCACAUUUCAACAAGUAUGCUUAAUUUUCAAAAUCCACAUCUGGAGGAAAAUUGCCAACUUCAGCCUCAAUACAGAAGCACAAGGUGACUUUCAGUAAGUAAGGGUUUAAGAAACCUUAAUUGUGAAACUUAGUGACAGAAUCUAUAUAUACACACGUACACGUGCAUCUCUAUAGAUAAACUUAGUGACAGAAUCUAUAUAUACAUGUACACGUGCAUCUCUAUAGAUAAACUUAGUGACAGAAUCUAUAUAUACACGUACACGUGCAUCUCUAUAGAUAAACUUAGUGACAGAAUCUAUAUAUACACGUACACGUGCAUCUCUA